UUAAUAUGACUAUUUAUUUUAUUAAGUGUAAUUAUUUACCUUGUGUGAUUUUGAGAUAUGAUAUGAAUUUGCAUAGUGAAUAAUGCAAUAAAAAUAUUUUGAUAAUUUCGAUUUUUAAGAUUAUCAAUUGAGUUUUGAAAAUCCGGGCGCAGAAUAUUAAGAUUUAGCAGCUUUGUAGAAUUGUUAGCUCGUACGAUAUUUUGCGACCUAUUAAGAUUAGAUUAUCUUGUAGGUCCACUUGUUAGAAGGUUUUAGCACUGGUUUUACAAGAAGAGAAUUGUGCAAAUUUUAUCUACAGGCUUGUCCUAUCAAGGUUGAGCGGCAGGUGGUGUCGUACGAGGCUGAGGGAGGAUGUUGCUGUAGUUUCAUAUAAUAAUUUCUGCUGCCAUAAUAUUCACUUAGGUGGAUAUCUUUUGAGAUUGACUCUUUAAAUAUUCUUAGUCUAAUUAUUAUGAAUUCUAUGGCAAUCGCAUUUCUAGCAAUUGAACCUCGCAUAUAUGUAUGUCUAGUAUGAAGUGUUAUCUUGUUGUCCCAGAUCGACCUCCGAACUUUUGAUCCUGGUUGGGAAAAUUUCUAUCUUAAUUGUUGUAUUUAUUAUCCUUCAAUUGCGGCACUCCUUUAUUAACAAUGUAUUACCCGAAUCUAAGAACAUAUCACCCAUUUUAUUCUAACAAAGUCUAGCAAAUCCCUUUAAGUAGCCGUUUCUUAUUCUCCCGGGAGUCGGGCUGUCACAUCUUUGAAGAGGACAAAAACAUCGGCUGCUGAAGCCGGUGAGCAGGAAAGAAUAGUGAAGAAGAGAAAAACAGAUAAAUCUGAUCCAAAAGUUCCUGAUGGAAAAAGUGUGAUAGUCCAAAGAAGCAAGAAAGAUGAAGAUGUGGUAAUAAAUUCAAAGAAAGAAGUGAAGGUUGUUGUAAAACGUCA
Long non-coding RNA from Salvia miltiorrhiza (redroot sage), 921 nucleotides. RefSeq lists it as uncharacterized. The record is from RefSeq and is a predicted model, not a curated record. The transcript has 4 exons. Lineage: Eukaryota; Viridiplantae; Streptophyta; Magnoliopsida; Lamiales; Lamiaceae.